GCUUUCGUGGGAGAGUGGUAAGCACGCUCGAUGCAUAAUCGAGAGGUCCGGGGUUCGAUUCCCGGCGAAGGCG
RNAcentral lists this transfer RNA (73 nucleotides) under Stegodyphus mimosarum. It matches the Rfam family "tRNA". Rfam says of the family: Transfer RNA (tRNA) molecules are approximately 80 nucleotides in length. The record is from Rfam by way of RNAcentral. Lineage: Eukaryota; Metazoa; Arthropoda; Arachnida; Araneae; Eresidae.